This 75-nucleotide antisense RNA is filed under the name Streptomyces sp. SolWspMP-5a-2. Its description in RNAcentral is "ASpks TB sRNA". It matches the Rfam family "ASpks TB sRNA". Lineage: Bacteria; Bacillati; Actinomycetota; Actinomycetes; Kitasatosporales; Streptomycetaceae. The record is from RNAcentral.
CUUGAUGGAGCCCAGCAGCAGAGGCUGCUCCGGGUUCCGGUCCCGGCCGUAGGUGGCCAGCAGCGCCUGCGCCUC